This is a long non-coding RNA of Calliphora vicina (urban bluebottle blowfly), 486 nucleotides long. RefSeq lists it as uncharacterized. The transcript is spliced from 3 exons. Lineage: Eukaryota; Metazoa; Arthropoda; Insecta; Diptera; Calliphoridae. The record is from RefSeq and is a predicted model, not a curated record.
AAAAAUAAUUAAAAGUAAAUGUGUACUAUUUCGAAAAUGUUUAGAACUACCGCAUGUAUUUGCUUCUCUAUGUUUUUAUUAACGGCAAAUGCAGAUAGAUUAUUUGGUAAUAGAAAAAAGGAUGCCGAAAAAAUUUUAGAUAGAGCUUUGGAUCUAUUAAUUCACGAAGAUGGGCCCAUUUACUCACAACACGGUGUAGAUGCGGUAUACAAAUUCGUACCCAGUAUUAUUUACACUUUUGAUAUCCGGGUCGAAGAUUGGAGACAUGACCCCAAGAAAUGUACGGUGACGAUUUCAUAUAAAUAUGGUGAUAUAAAUACUUUCGUAAAUAUAAAGUGUGAUCAAGAUGAAGAGAUUAAUAGAAUUGUAAGCCAGAAGAUUUUCGUGAACCCAAUUAUAUAAUAACAUAAAAUCUUUAAUUACUUUUCUUUUAACAUGGACCUUUUUAAACAUGUAUCGAAUUGUUUUAUUUAAUAAACAUUUCAA